RNAcentral lists this ribosomal RNA (492 nucleotides) under uncultured bacterium. RNAcentral describes it as "partial 16S ribosomal RNA". It matches the Rfam family "Bacterial small subunit ribosomal RNA", at positions 29 to 507 of the family's 1533-position model. The record is from RNAcentral.
AAUGAACGCUGGCGGUAGGCCUAACACAUGCAAGUCGAACGGCAGCACAGUAAGAGCUUGCUCUUACGGGUGGCGAGUGGCGGACAGGUGAGGAAUACAUCGGAAUCUACUUUUUCGUGGGGGAUAACGUAGGGAAACUUACGCUAAUACCGCAUACGACCUACGGGUGAAAGCAGGGGAUCUUCGGACCUUGCGCGAUUGAAUGAGCCGAUGUCGGAUUAGCUAGUUGGCGGGGUAAAGGCCCACCAAGGCGACGAUCCGUAGCUGGUCUGAGAGGAUGAUCAGCCACACUGGAACUGAGACACGGUCCAGACUCCUACGGGAGGCAGCAGUGGGGAAUAUUGGACAAUGGGCGCAAGCCUGAUCCAGCCAUACCGCGUGGGUGAAGAAGGCCUUCGGGUUGUAAAGCCCUUUUGUUGGGAAAGAAAAGCAGCAGGUUAAUACCCCGCUGUUCUGACGGUACCCAAAGAAUAAGCACCGGCUAACUUCGUG